GCUCCUGUGAAGUGCAAAGACCCACAUAACCAAAACAUUUUUCUUCGUCUCAAGCAAAAUCAAAUUCCGCUACUUCUUUCAAUUUCUAGGGUUUCAAUUUUCAACCGCUCUCAAAACUGUUCACAAUAAUCAACUAUUUUUGACGAUUCGUACCUGUCACCAAAACCUAGUUCUCCAUUGUCGCAGAUUUCAUAUCACAAUGCCGCUUACUAACAAAUCCAUGGAAGGCGAGGAGUGGGGAACUCCGACCAACAACCUCUGGGUCGGGAAUUUGACGCCGGAGGUCACCGAUUCCGAUCUCAUGGACCUCUUCGCUCCGUACGGUUCUCUCGACACUCUCAUAUCCUAUUCUUCUCGCACUUUCGCUUUCGUCUUAUUCAGGCGCAUCGAAGACGCCAAGGCCGCGAAGAACAACUUGCAAGGCGCUGCGCUGCGCGGUGUUCAAAUCAGAAUCGAGUUUGCCAGACCGGCGAAGCCGUGUAAGCAAUUGUGGGUGGGUGGUGUUGGUCACGCCGUUACGAAGGAGGAUUUGGAAGCGGAGUUUCGCAAAUUCGGUAAGAUUGAGGAUUUUGUGUUCUUCAGAGACCGCGGUACUGCGUGCGUUGAGUUUCUCAAUUUGGAUGAUGCUACGCGGGCCGUGAAAGUCAUGAACGGGAAGCGAUUAGGUGGAGGCCAGAUUUGUGUAGACUUCGUUCGAUCACAAUCUACGAAGAGAGAUCAUUUGGUUGAUCAUGGGCAGUUUCAGGGUAGACCACAGCAUUUGCAACCUUCAAUGGGGAGGAAUAGUCAACCGAGUAAGAUUUUGUGGAUAGGUUUUCCUCCUUCUUUUCAAAUUGAUGAACAAAUGCUCCACAAUGCCAUGAUUUUAUUUGGUGAAAUUGAGAGAAUCAAGAGUUUUCCUUCUAGAAAUUAUUCAUUUGUUGAAUUUAGAAGCAUUGAUGAAGCUCAGCGUGCCAAAGAGGGUCUUCAAGGGCGGCUUUUUAAUGAUCCUCGAAUAACGAUUAUGUAUUCAAGCAGUGAGCUGGCACCUGGCAAAGAUCACCCUGGCUUUUAUCCUGGAAAUAAAGGGCCUAUGACUGAUGGAUUAGUUAAUGAGCAUCCAUAUCGAGCACUACAAACGGAUGUAUUUGGGCAUAAUCGUCCUGUGGUUCCAAAUAAUUUUCCUGGACAAUUCCCACCUGGUGGUAAUACUGGACCUAAUGUCCCAAUGCGACCUUUUGGUCCUCAAGGUCUUGAACCUCUUAUCUCUGGUCCUGAUUUUAAUGAGAUGGGUACACUCCAUAAAUUUCAGGAUGGUAGCUCUAAAAGUCAGAUGGGUCCAAGCUGGAAAAGGCCAUCUCCUCCUGCCCCAGGAAUGCUUCCUUCUCCUAUGCAUGGUAUUAGGCAUCCUACAAGAUCCAACUCUGGUGCAUGGGAUGUACUUGACAUAAACCAAUUUCAGAGAGAUUCUAAACGUUCACGGAUAGAUGAUGCUCCAUUUCCUUUAAGGAAUAUAGAUGAUCGUGGAUUGGGACUAGAACAACCAUUUGCAAUUGAUCCAGUUAUUGAUGGUGCUGGUUCUGGUCCAAGGAGUCACCUUGGUCCAGCCGGUUCUGUCCUACCUGAUAUUGAUCAUAUAUGGCGUGGAAUUAUUGCAAAAGGGGGAACUCUUGUUUGUCGUGCUAGAUGUGUGCCUAUUGGAAAAGGGAUAGGAACUGCAAUUCCUGAUGUUGUAGACUGUGCUGCUAGGACUGGGCUAGAUAUGCUAACGAAACAUUAUGCUGAUGCAAUUGGCUUUGACAUUGUUUUCUUUCUCCCUGAUAGUGAAGAGGAUUUUGCUUCAUACACUGAAUUCCUUCGCUACCUCAAAGCAAAAAACCGUGCUGGUGUUGCCAAGUUUGCUGAUAACACCACUUUAUUUUUGGUACCUCCUUCUGAUUUCUUGACCAGGGUUUUGAAAGUCACAGGACCUGAACGUCUAUAUGGUGUGGUUCUUAAAUUUCCAUUAGUUGCAAGUAAUGCAUCUAUGCAACAAGCAAUGCAUUUGCCGUCACCCUCUACUCAGUAUAUGCAACAGGUCCCCCCUUCACAAGCUGAGUAUGGUUCAAUCUCUGCAAAGGAGGAACAGAGUUUACCAAUGGAUUAUAACAGAUUGUUUCAUGAGGAUUCUAAGCAUCCGCCAAAACCACUUCAUGCAGCUACAAGUGUCCCCCCCUCAGCUCAUUCUGUUCCUCCUGAUUAUGCUCCAACUUAUACUGCUUCGGUAUCCCAAGCUGGAGUUACAUUGACACCCGAACUUAUUGCAUCUUUAACUUCUUUACUCCCUGGAACUACGCAAUCAUCAACCACUGGCCCCUCUACUGUGAAGCCUCCUUUUCCUCCUGUUGCACCUAAUGAUGGAAAUCAGUCUCAUUUGUGGAAACAAGAUCAGCAAGUUGCAGAUCCACCUAGUCAUCCUCCUCAACAGUUUGGGAGUAUUGAUAAUGCUCAAUAUCAACCUUAUCCGCCUACAUCUUCAACUGAUCACCAUGCUCAAGCGGUCUAUGGCAGUUCUCAUUUCCAAGAUUCUGCUUCCAGGCUUCAGCAAAUAGGUGCUGUUUCUUCUACACCCGUGACUAAUUUCAUCAUACCUCAAAAUGGACAGGUAGCUGUGUCCCCUCAAGUCAGUCAACAGUAUCAGGUGGAAGUUUCCCACAACACUGAGAAAGGCUAUGGAGUGGUUCAGGGAACUGAUGCCUCUGUUUUAUACAGUUCUAAUGCGUUCCAACAACCCAAUAAUUUUAUUGCCUCAUCCAACCAAGUUUCCAAUGCAGCUUCACAGCAACAAACUGUGAUGCCCUAUACAGUGGACAAAGUUAAUUCGGAGCUCCCAAAUCAGCAACUUCAACCUGCUUUAUUUGGAGUGGGCUCAGGAAUGUCAGAAUUGGAGGCUGAUAAGAACCAGAGGUACCAGUCAACACUACAGUUUGCUGCCAACCUUCUCCUCCAGAUACAGCAACAGCAAACACAAGGAGGACAUGGGCCAGGAAAUCAACAAUAAGAGUUGUUUUCUUUGCACCUCGUAAUCUGUUAGUAUUCCCUGGAACAGUGCUUGCUAAGUGUACUUGCUCAUCUUCGUCAUCAUCUUGGUUAUCUUCUUGAGUUGCUACAUAGUCAUCUCACUCAUUAACAUUUGGAAAGCCUUGUUCAGGAUCUAAGGAAAUACAUCUACAUUGGUCCUGUAUUUGUGGGAAUGAUUCAAUUCAAUGGUCGGUGGAUGAUUGAUCAUUGAUGUUAGUUAUACUGACCAGUUUGCAAAUUGCAAAUUGCAGUUAGAUUGUCAUCAAUAUAAGAUGAAUUUUCUGUUGAACGUUAGUUAACUUCAGUGGUUAGGAAACUUACUGAUAGAGAUAGUCAACAGUAUCUGGUCUUUGGGAGAAUUAAUAGCAUUUAUAAUUGCCCCGUUCAUUCAUAAAAUUUGUACAAUACACUCCUUGGUAGAACAUUGUCAUUAAGUGACUUAGUUUCAUGUAUAGUUUCAGAUAGAGAUACAUUGACUUUGUAACAAUUCCGAUGGUGUGCCUUAGAAUGCUUGCAUAAUGGUUCAGAUGAAUCUAGUAAAUACCACAUUUUAAGUAGACCAACUUUUAUUUAUUUUUGUACACUAGAAUUAAGUUGUCCAUUAUUAUCUUAUUUCUGAUUAGUUUAAAAUAUUUCUUUAGAUUCCAUCAUAUGCUGACUCAUUUUCUUUAUCUCCAAUAUUUGUCAAUGUUUCUGUGUUGUUUUUUAAUUGAAUAGAUACUAAUGUUGUGACAUAAAAUUUGGCUCAUAUUAAUUAAGCCUUGAACUUCACUGCACUGGAAUUGCAUGAUAAUAACUUGGUUUAAAUGCUGUUUCCCAUUAUUUUUAAGCUGUAGGCUUAGAGCACUUCCUUUCCUUUAGAAAGUAAAUAUUCGGGUUGGGAACUCAAUCUCACCAUAACUUAUUUCACUGAGUUGUAAUUUUGAACUAUGUAAGGAUCUUAAUCGUGCUUCCAAAGAUUAUGUGAAGACACUUUCUGAUCAAAUUUGUAAAUUUAGUUACCGCUAUUUACUGCUUUCCUAGCUAACUAUUCUCAGGGAUUGGUUAAUAGUAUCUAAAAUUUUGGUAACAAAUGCCUAUUCCGACUAUCCCAUUGUUUCUCCUACGCUUCCUUGUUAUAACUCUUUCAUACCCAAUAGUGAGAAUAUGCGGUUUAUAAUAUGAAGAUUCAUUGUAUUACUUUAUAUUACGUGAUUCGCAUCAAUCUUUAGCGACUAUGAACCUAUCCUAAUUACUCCACCAACUGGCUUUAGAGGAUAGUUUUUUGAAUUGUUAGAAGCUUAUGGAAAUUUCCCUCCUAAACGUCCUUGUUGAUUAAUUGAUUUUUUGUUCUUUAUUUUAUGCAAGAAACAUUUGAUGAAAAUACAAAACCUCCUAAAUCCACUUUCAAAUUUUAUGGGCAAUGCGUAAAAUGCACGCUAUUGCAAUAGAUGUGUAUGGUAGACGUUUAUAUUCAACCUUUAUAAUUCCCAUUUCCAAUAUAAUAAAGGCUAACUUAAUCAAGUAUGAUUAAUAGCCAAUCUUAAGACACCUUGGUGUAAAAAAUAAAAAAGAAAUGUGACACCUGGGAAGAACAUGUUUACUACUCUUCAUACUUAAAAUGCCCUGAAAAAUACUAUUGGGAACUUGAUAUCAUCAGUC
This is an RNA transcript of Cajanus cajan (pigeon pea), 4680 nucleotides long. It is a transcript of the gene named flowering time control protein FPA, with no coding region annotated. NCBI's taxonomy places the organism in Eukaryota, Viridiplantae, Streptophyta, Magnoliopsida, Fabales, Fabaceae. The record is from RefSeq and is a predicted model, not a curated record.